UGCGAUGUAAGCAGACAGGACACACACUCCUCACCAAAUGGGGCUUCUCUGCUUCAGUUUGACCCAGUCCUGCCUUGCUCUCCAGGAUGUUGUGUCUGUGGCUCCCUGGAGGCCCGUGCAUGGCAGCUCUGACAGUGACACUGAUGGUGCUGAGUCCUCCUGUGGCUUUGGCCAGGGACACGCGACCACGUUUCUUGGUGUAUGGUAAAUCGGAGUGUCACUUCUCCAAUGGGAGUGAGCGGGUGAGGCUUCUGGCCAGAUACAUCUACAACCAGGAGGAAUUAGUGCUCUUUGACAGCGAGGUGAGUGAGUUCCGUGCUGUGACUCAGCUGGGGAGGCCUGACGCUAAGGCCUGGAACAACCAUAAGGACUUCCUGGAGCAGAUGCGUGCCAUGGUGGACACAGUGUGCAGACACAACUAUCAGAUUGGUGAGAAGACCAUGGUGCAGAGGAGAGUUGAGCCCAAGGUGACUGUGUACUCCACAAAGACCCAGCCCCUGCAGCACCACAACCUCCUGGUCUGCUCUGUGAGUGGCUUCUACCCAGGACACAUUGAAGUCACAUGGUUCCGGAAUGGCCAGGAGCAGGAGAUUGGGGUGGUGUCCACAGGCCUGAUCCAGAAUGGAGACUGGACCUUCCAGAUCCUAGUCAUGCUGGAAACUGUUCCGCAGAGUGGAGAGGUUUAUGCCUGCCAGGUGGAGCACGUGAGCUGGAGCAGCCCUGUCACUGUGGAGUGGAGGUCCGAGUCUGGAUCUGUACAGAGCAAGAAGCUGAGUGGAAUCGGGGGCUUUGUGCUGGGUCUGCUCUUCCUUGCCUUGGGGCUGUUUAUCUACUCCAGGAAUCAGAAAGGAUCUGUGCCCUGCAGAUUCAAGAGGACAGGCUGAUCACCCUAGAAACACUGGCUGCACAGCUGUGGGACACUCUUGCAGUUCAGCUAACAGGACUCCAGAGCUAAGGAGAUGGUGACAGCACUGAAGGGAAGGAUUGUGUCUCUACUGCUCCAUGUCUUCUCCAUGUCAUGUCAGGCUUCCUGCUUGGCUCUUGUUCCCCCACAGAGAGAGGCUCUCCUGGUGCCCAGGACCACACAGAACAUGUCUCCCUGAUGGCUUCCUCUGCCCCUGGGCCCAUCUUGAAUCUCAGACUGCAGAGCCUUCCCUCCAUUCCCUCCUGGACCCUCUGCACUCUGCAUUCACCUGCUCAGUGCUUCUGCACUCUGCAGUGAAAAGUUGCUUUGUUACUUUUUUUGGUCAAAUGAACAUAGAGUGAAAAAUCAUCUGCUCCCUACAGUUUCAAGGACAAAAUAUAAAAAGAAUAUUUUCUUCCUACUUACAAGUAUCUAUCAUCUAUUUUGCUUCUUGUAUACACAAGGGGAGGGAGUGAGAUUAGGGAGAGAAUGGCAAAGGGAAAAAAUAUUCUAGAAGGAAAAAUAUGGAAACAAAUCUGCAUAUAGGGAGUAGAAGAAGGGAUUAAGGAGGGGUGGGCAUGGGUUUAAACAAAGAAGAAUCCAGAUACUUUAUGUACAGGUAGAAAUUUCCUGUGAUGAAUAUGGUUAUUUUGUACAUCAAAAUAUUCCAAUAAAAUUAACUUGAAAAUAGAAAAGAGAACAGAAGGACCAGCUCACAAGACACCACCGAGUUUCAUUUCUGUACAGUAAGUGCGUGAGGGGAUGUUAAGCGGGUUUUCCUCUUGGAACUCUGCACGCUGAUAGUGUUGUGCAUUCUGUUACAGCGUGAGCCACAAUUUUACUGGGAUUUUCUUUCUUCAGAGGAAGAAAUAAUUUAUCUCAAUUUAUGUGAGGACUGUGAUAUGAAACUGUGAGGUAGAAUUAGAGCAUAAGACAAAAUUUCAGUCAAAGUGCUUUGUGCUCCAAAGAGCUGGGAAUCCUGUUUAAUUGUGCUGUUUUUAUGCUUGAUGUGGCAGUAGGUGUUGAAUCCACCUGGGGUUUUUCUAGGCCUGCUCACUUCAGCAUGUAGGUGGCACCUGCAAUGACCCUGCAAUUUCACACCUCAUUCGCAGCCCCUGGCUGCCUCAAGAUGGCAAAAGGACCCCCCCCCCCCCUAGGUUGCAGGUUCGUUCAAAACACCUUGCACUGGCAAGAAGGGGAAGCCCUUCUUCUUGAGUGAUUCUGUAAGCAAACGUUUCAAGUUUCCAGUGAAGCUGUUUACUCAUCCCUAGGAACUAGCAAGGGAUUUGUUGACAGAUCUGACAAAUCAUCCUUCAUGCUUUGUGGACUGGGCCUGAUACCUUGGGAAGAAAUGUGCAUUGUCAUCUCUGUUUGAAAGAAAAGACUAUUAAAAGAGAAUGGUUUCAGAAUAGGGAAAUGACCAUUUCUGAUACCAUUAUAUUGUUAGUGUUUUUAGUUAAUUUCCUCAUGCAGGCCAUUAGAUUUUUUUUCCUUUUUUCUUUUCUUUUCUUUUUGUUGUACUCUAGAAAAAAAAAAGAACUUUGUUAUAUUUGUAUUAUACCUAAAUACCUGUAAUGUGGCCAUACUGUAUAUAUGUCCCCCUUCCCCCUUCUCCCUCUGGAUGACAUAAUUGAUAUGUUAAUCAAUGCUCUCCUUUGUAAAGAAUUGUAAAUUCCUGCAAGACUUCUCUGUCUUCUUCUAAGGGAAACAAAGGUUGCUAAUUGCUGCUAGACUCCUCUAUUCUCUGCUGAGGAAAACAAGAUCUUCCCAUUAGCCUAUUUCCUGAUCCAUUCCCAUGACCUUUACUUUGGGAGCUGUGAUAGGUACUAGAGGGGAGGGAAGUAUUGAGGAGAGACACACAGCUUUUGUAGUCUCCAGCUGCACUGUGUCUCUGGGCCCAGGGUAAAAUAAAUCAGCGCUGCUUUUUAAAAUAUGUUUUUGCCUAAUUUUUAAAACUCAAGCUUGGGGGCUUAUUUGUGGAUUACAAGGCCUUUUCUUUUCUUUUCUUUCUUUCUUUCUUUUUUUGUUUGUUUUUGGUCUUUUUUGAGACAAGUAAUAGCUAUGCUGCUCAGACUUCACCUUGAGCUCCCAUUGUAGCUCUGGCUGAUUUCAAACUUGCCAGGAUCCUCCUUCCCUAGUCUCCUGAGUGCUGGGAUUACAAGCUAGAUUCUUGAUAAGAAUUCUGAAUGGCUGUCUUUUUUAGAAAGAUAUACUGAAUAUUAAAAGCCAGCCAAUAACUCAAAUACAGUGAAACAGAUAAAAUGUCAAAAUGUUGCUCAUUUUUGGAAGCAAAUAUGCUAAUACAUAAUUUUAUAAGGAAAAUACAUUUUCCAAAGAUUUUCUUAAAACAAUACAUAACAAUGAAAGUCUAACUUUGUAAAGUGCUAUAUUCUGUGGUACAUUAUUUUAGCAAACACAUUUUUAUAUUCUUUCAUUAAAUACUCUAGUAAAAUUUUGAUCACAAUGAGAGCCCUAAAAAGCAGAGAAUUAUUUGAGAUAGUUUCAAUUUGUUAACAGAAUA
Molecule: RNA transcript, 3425 nt
Organism: Cavia porcellus (domestic guinea pig)
Lineage: Eukaryota; Metazoa; Chordata; Mammalia; Rodentia; Caviidae
Gene name: HLA class II histocompatibility antigen, DRB1 beta chain-like
Exons: 7
Source: RefSeq, a predicted model, not a curated record